Molecule: ribosomal RNA, 253 nt
Filed under: uncultured bacterium
Lineage: Bacteria
Description: partial 16S ribosomal RNA
Rfam family: Bacterial small subunit ribosomal RNA
Source: RNAcentral
UACAGAGGUCUCAAGCGUUGUUCGGAUUCAUUGGGCGUAAAGGGUGCGUAGGUGGCAUGGUAAGUCGGAUGUGAAAUCCCGGGGCUUAACCCCGGAACUGCAUUCGAUACUGCCAGGCUAGAGUACUGGAGAGGAGAUUGGAAUUUACGGUGUAGCAGUGAAAUGCGUAGAUAUCGUAAGGAAGACCAGUGGCGAAGGCGGGUCUCUGGACAGUUCCUGACGCUGAGGCACGAAGGUCAGGGGAGCAAACGGG